Molecule: ribosomal RNA, 492 nt
Filed under: uncultured bacterium
Lineage: Bacteria
Description: partial 16S ribosomal RNA
Rfam family: Bacterial small subunit ribosomal RNA
Source: RNAcentral
AGUGAACGCUGGCGGUAGGCCUAACACAUGCAAGUCGAACGGCAGCACAGUAAGAGCUUGCUCUUACGGGUGGCGAGUGGCGGGCGGGUGAGGCAUACAUCGGAAUCUACUUUUUCGUGGGGGAUAACGGAGGGAAACAGACGCUAAUACCGCAUACGACCUACGGGUGAAAGCAGGAGAUCUUCGGACCUUGCGCGAUUGAAUGAGCCGGUGUCGGAUUAGCUAGUUGGCGGGGUAAAGGCCCACCAAGGCGACGAUCCGUAGCUGGUCUGAGAGGAUGAUCGGCCACACUGGAACUGAGACACGGUCCAGACUCCUACGGGAGGCAGCAGUGGGGAAUAUUCCGCAAUGGGCGAAAGCCUGAUCCAGCCAUACCGCGUGAGUGAUGAAGGCCUUCGGAUUGUAAAGCCCUUUUGUUGGGAAAGAAAAACAGCAGGUGAAUCCCCCGCUGUUCUGACGGUACCCAAACAGUAAGCCCCGGCUAACUUCGUG